ACGUACGUGUGUGUGUGUGUGUGUGUGUGUGUGUGUACACACACACACACACACACACACACACACAGAGGUAU
This is a non-coding RNA of Podarcis lilfordi (Lilford's wall lizard), 74 nucleotides long. Lineage: Eukaryota; Metazoa; Chordata; Lepidosauria; Squamata; Lacertidae. The record is from the annotation of a GenBank genome assembly.